GACGAACGCUGGCGGCGUGCUUAACACAUGCAAGUCGAACGGAAAGGCCCUGCUUUUGUGGGGUGCUCGAGUGGCGAACGGGUGAGUAACACGUGAGUAACCUGCCCUUGACUUUGGGAUAACUUCAGGAAACUGGGGCUAAUACCGGAUAGGAGCUCCUGCUGCAUGGUGGGGGUUGGAAAGUUUCGGCGGUUGGGGAUGGACUCGCGGCUUAUCAGCUUGUUGGUGGGGUAGUGGCUUACCAAGGCUUUGACGGGUAGCCGGCCAGAGAGGGUGAACGGCCACAUUGGGACUGGGUUUCGGCCGCGACUCCUACGGGAUGCAGGAGUGGGGAAUAUUGCAUAAUGGGCGGAAGCCUGAUGCAGCAACGCCGCGUGCGGGAUAACGGCCUUCGGGUUGUAAACGGCUUUCGCCUGUGACGAAGCGUGAGUGACGGUAAUGGGUAAAGAAGCUCCGGCUAACUACGUG
RNAcentral lists this ribosomal RNA (468 nucleotides) under uncultured bacterium. RNAcentral describes it as "partial 16S ribosomal RNA". It matches the Rfam family "Bacterial small subunit ribosomal RNA", at positions 28 to 507 of the family's 1533-position model. The record is from RNAcentral.